GGGUUGAACGCUAAGACAGCAUGAACAAACCAACUGUCAUCGCAGUUCUCGCUUUCGUGUGCAUCGCACUGUUAAUCGUGACUGAUGCUAAGCGAAAAGCUGCACAAGAAGACGAUGUGUGUGAUAGGCGAAACCACACUUGCUGGUACCCUGAGAUGUGCAAAGGCUGUCCAAGCGCCAUUCAGAAUAGUUCCAGAGGACACAAUAUAUAUUACUUCGACAAUAAUACAAACACCUGCAACAUGAGUAUUGGUGAAAGCAACAGCUGUAACAGUUUCCAGACGUUAGAUGAGUGCGAGCACUACUGUGGGUUGUCUGAUCCAGAUGAGGAAUGAAAACCAGAUCGCACGGGUUUCUGUAUGAGAAUAUUCUGGAUAUCACAGCGGAGCUAGCAUGGGAGACUUAUUCAAAGUGGUGUUGGUUAUUCUGCUGAAAAUUUUGCUCAAUAAACAAUCUUGCAUUAAA
Molecule: long non-coding RNA, 465 nt
Organism: Dermacentor andersoni
Lineage: Eukaryota; Metazoa; Arthropoda; Arachnida; Ixodida; Ixodidae
Source: RefSeq, a predicted model, not a curated record